Malaya genurostris is the source of this 440-nucleotide long non-coding RNA. RefSeq lists it as uncharacterized. The record is from RefSeq and is a predicted model, not a curated record. Lineage: Eukaryota; Metazoa; Arthropoda; Insecta; Diptera; Culicidae. The transcript is spliced from 2 exons.
ACUCCGACAGAUUUUCAAGGACACAUUUUGCAUCGUGCGGUACACUGUCAUGAUACACUGUCAGAGUGACAAUGUACUUUAACGAAUUUUCUAUAAAACUAGCAACGCUGAAGGGUAAGAACAAGAUCACCAUAGUUACUGUUUAUUAUAGUGGAAAAUACGAAAACAAAUUCACAAGCGAAGUCGGAAGAGCAGGACGAGACGGUGAUAUUGACGACGAUCACGAUGGCACAUCAAACUGGAAGAUGUUUUGAAGGUGAUCGAAACUAUGGGCAAGGAAAAUGAAAAUGAACUACAGGAUAAAGCAACUGAUUUAAGUCUUUCUCCUGGCGAUGGUCAAACAAGUAAAAGAAAUGAUACGAAGGUCGGUUCAUUAAGUCAGUACAUUUUUUAAAGUGAUUUGUAAAGCUACAGAAUAAAAAUACAUUCCAUCAACUGAA